This 203-nucleotide ribosomal RNA is filed under the name uncultured bacterium. RNAcentral's name for it is "partial 16S ribosomal RNA". It matches the Rfam family "Bacterial small subunit ribosomal RNA", at positions 524 to 726 of the family's 1533-position model. The record is from RNAcentral.
UACGUAGGGCGCAAGCGUUGUCCGGAAUUAUUGGGCGUAAAGAGCUCGUAGGCGGUUUGUCGCGUCUGCUGUGAAAACCUAAGGCUCAACCUUGGGCUUGCAGUGGGUACGGGCAGACUAGAGUGCGGUAGGGGUGACUGGAAUUCCUGGUGUAGCGGUGAAAUGCGCAGAUAUCAGGAGGAACACCGGUGGCGAAGGCGGUU